UGAAAGAUGAAGAGGUCAUGCGUACUAAGAAAUGUUGAUCGAGAGGAGAAAUAAAAUCUUCUCAAACUUAUGAGUGACCAACCAACAACUGGGUGCUAUCUUUGUAAAAUCAAAAAAUGUCAAAGAUCUUAAUGCUACGAUUCUCUUGAUCUACAUCUUCAAGACCACGACUGAUUGAUGAAAGGCCAACAAGAGCAUUAAGCUGUCAGGAGCAAAAGUAAAGCCAUGCACAUCAAUACCUAAACUCAGUAUAUCUUCAAUAAAUGACUGUUUUGUAACUGACUGUAAAAAGGUACGGUUCCUCACUAUUAUAAAUGUACAUCAUUAUUGCAUCUUCUUAUGAACUAUAACAGUAUUCUAUCAAGGAGUCAUAAUCUACCUAAAAAGGUGAAGAGAGAAAGUAACAUGAGGAUGGAAACUCAAAUGACUACAAAUUUUCUCUCCAUCCAAGUUUUAGGUUGAAGAUGAUAUCUUGAAGGAAGGCUGAAAUGGGUCAUAAGAGCAUCACAGACCUAAUGAAUGUUAUGUGAAGUAAUCUUUGCUGAUGGGUUAGUAUGUAUGUACAAGCCUAUGUUCUAAGUGUUUGACAACACACAGAGCAUGAUCAGUUCUGCAAGAGGAUCUUGCUGAUUUGUAGAAACUGAU
RNAcentral lists this long non-coding RNA (645 nucleotides) under Panax ginseng (ginseng). RNAcentral's name for it is "long non-coding RNA (PGIN_LNC001671)". The record is from RNAcentral. Lineage: Eukaryota; Viridiplantae; Streptophyta; Magnoliopsida; Apiales; Araliaceae.